UGCGGAGGGAUCAUUACACAACAAAAUAUGAAGGCCUGGCUUUGCGGCCGGCUGAAAUAUUUUUUUCACCCAUGUCUUUUGCGCACUUGUUGUUUCCUGGGCGGGUUCGCCCGCCACCAGGACCAAACCAUAAACCUUUUUUUUAUGCAGUUGCAAUCAGCGUCAGUAUAAACAAUGUAAUUAUUACAACUUUCAACAACGGAUCUCUUGGUUCUGGCAUCGAUGAAGAACGCAGCGAAAUGCGAUACGUAGUGUGAAUUGCAGAAUUCAGUGAAUCAUCGAAUCUUUGAACGCACAUUGCGCCCUUUGGUAUUCCAAAGGGCAUGCCUGUUCGAGCGUCAUUUGUACCCUCAAGCUUUGCUUGGUGUUGGGCGUUUUUGUCUCCCUCUUUGCUGGGAGACUCGCCUUAAAACGAUUGGCAGCCGGCCUACUGGUUUCGGAGCGCAGCACAUAUUUUGCACUCUGUAUCAGGAGAAAAGGACGGUAAUCCAUCAAGACUCUUACGAUUUUUAACUUUUGACCUCGGAUCAGGUAGGGAUACCCGCUGAACUUAAGCAUAUCA
Molecule: ribosomal RNA, 562 nt
Filed under: Bipolaris maydis (southern corn leaf blight pathogen)
Lineage: Eukaryota; Fungi; Ascomycota; Dothideomycetes; Pleosporales; Pleosporaceae
Description: eukaryotic LSU rRNA
Rfam family: 5.8S ribosomal RNA (bases 188-341)
Source: RNAcentral